RNAcentral lists this small nuclear RNA (107 nucleotides) under Salvator merianae (Argentine black and white tegu). The record is from RNAcentral. Lineage: Eukaryota; Metazoa; Chordata; Lepidosauria; Squamata; Teiidae.
GUGUUCACUUCGGCAGCACAUAUGCUAAAAUUGGAACGAUACAGAGAAGAUUAGCAUGAUCCCUGAGAAAGGAUGGCAUACAAAUUUGUGAAGCGUUCCAUAUUUUU